ACAAAAACUAGGUUCCAAGACCUGAGGAUGGGAAAGUUAUAGUUUAGAAUAUUAAUGUUAGAUUCACUACUGCUGUUGACCUUAUUAAUGAGGAAAUUGUACUUGAAAAGCAGAAGUAAUUGAAGAACUAUUUACAGAGGAGCAAGCCAUAAAGAUUUUGUCCAUCCCUCUAGUAAACAGCUCCAUGCCAAAUACUCUUGUAUGGAGAUGUGAUAGUAUGGGAGAAUACUCCGUUAAAAGUAAAGAUAAAUGGUGCAUUACAACAAACCAGAGUGAAGCCUAUACAGAUACUAAUCUAAAAAACGAUGCCCUCAAAACUUAUUAUACAAGACUCUGGAGUCUUAACAUCCCAAAUAAAAUUAGAAUACAUCUAUGGAAGGUUACAAAUAAUUGUUUGCCUACGUUUCAAAAUCUUCAGUAUAUGAUAUUAAGGAAUAAGGCCCUCUGCUCGAUAUGUGCUAUGGAGGACGAAUCAAUAGUGCAUAUCUUUUGAGAUUGUAUGUUUGUGAAACAUGUGCUUCAAGAGGUGGGUUUGAUGGUUUCGCAAACAAAUAUACAUCAAGAGUGGAAAAUAUGGUUAGCAUAUGUGUUCGAGGAAAACAACAAUACAUAGAACAUAAAUAGAGCAGUAUCUUUUUGGGCAGUCUGGCAUUACAGAAACAAAUUAGUGCAUGAAGGAAUAAGAGAGCGGAUCAGCGAGGUGAUCAAAUUUGUUAAAGCAUAUGUUGCAGAACUAAGCCAGUUAGAGGAGAUUUCAACAACCCAUUUUUUACAAAGAGAGACACAAUGGGAACCCCUAGAAGGAGACACAAUUAAAGUAAAUUUUGAUACUUUCUAUCAAAAGUAGUUACAAAAAGGGAUAGCAGACAUAGUGUUAAGGAAUAAUCUAGGGUAGAUUAUAGGGGCGUGUGCUUACCCGCUCAACAGCAUCCAAGACCCAGUAACAGUUGAAGCAUAUGCCUGUUUACGAGUGGUCAUCUACUCGAAGAACUGGGUUUCAACAAUAUCUGCGUCGAAGGGGAUGCACUCACGAUCCUGAAGAAAUUAGAAGUCCAAAUGACUAACAGAUCUGUAAUAGGGAACAUAAUGAAGGAAAUUCAAUAGAGAAGGGAGAGAUUUAGAGCUUUUACCUCACAAUUUGUCCUACGCUCGGUGAACAAAGCUGUACAUGAAAUGUCCAUUUGGGGAUGUUGGUGUGAGGAGCCAAGAUACUGAGUGGAAGAGGCUCCACUAGAGGUCGAAGCAAUCACUACAAAGGAGUACGGUGGAAAGUUUGGUUUUUUUUUUUUUGUGAACUAUGCCCGAAGUUGUUUUGCUGAAUCUCUGUAUUUAGGAGAUAAUCUGAAGAGCUCAAUUUUUAGAGAUGUGGGGAAAAAGGAAAGAGGUUUAAUUGAAGCCUAGUGCGAGGCUGCCACUCUCAAAAGAAUAUUGUCCGAUGCAUCUAUGCCGUUUGAUGUGGUGAGGAAGAUGAAUGGAUUAGGAUAGUUUGAUUUUGUUUAGUUUAGGAGAUGAAAUGUUUUUUGUUUUGGUUGUUUUUUUUCAACUCCUUAGGGUUCCUUUAAUUGUUUUAAGUUUAGGGUUGUUAGGGGUAUCCCCAAGGCACCGCCCUUUUGCUGAGCUAAUCUGUUGCCAGCUAGAUGGGUAGGG
Molecule: long non-coding RNA, 1647 nt
Filed under: Gossypium barbadense (sea-island cotton)
Lineage: Eukaryota; Viridiplantae; Streptophyta; Magnoliopsida; Malvales; Malvaceae
Description: long non-coding RNA (GBAR_LNC013508)
Source: RNAcentral